ACGGGGCGCAGCAGGCGCGAAAAUUCCACAAUGGGCGCAAGCCCGAUGGAGGGAUUUGGAGUGCUUUCUCUUUUUGAGAGAGCUUUUCUCAAGUUUAGAUCGCUUGAGGAAUAAACAGUGGGUAAGACGGGUGCCAGCCGCCGCGGUAAUACCCGCGCUGUGAGUGGUGAUCGCGAUUAUUGGGUUUAGAGCGUUCGUAGCCGGUUUGGCAAGUUUCUGAUGAAAUCCCACAGUUAACUGUGGGGCUUGUCAGGGAUACUACCAAACUUGGGACCGGGAGAGGCCAAGGGUAUUCCUAGGGUAGGAGUAAAAUCUUAUAAUCCUAGGAGGACCACCUGUGGCGAAGGCGCUUGGCUAGAACGGAUCCGACGGUGAGGGACGAAAGCUAGGGGAUCAAAGCGGAUUAGAUACCCGCGUAGUCCUAGCUGUAAACGAUACCCACUAAACAUUGGCAACCUCAAGGGGGUUGCCAGAGUUGCAGGGAAACCGCUAAGUGGGUCACCUGGGGAGUACGGCCGCAAGGCUGAAACUUAAGGGAAUUGGCGGGGGAGUACACAAGGGGUGGAGGCUGCGGUUUAAUUGGAUCUAACGCCAGAA
Molecule: ribosomal RNA, 597 nt
Filed under: uncultured archaeon
Lineage: Archaea
Description: bacterial SSU rRNA
Rfam family: Archaeal small subunit ribosomal RNA
Source: RNAcentral